RNAcentral lists this ribosomal RNA (478 nucleotides) under uncultured bacterium. RNAcentral's name for it is "bacterial SSU rRNA". It matches the Rfam family "Bacterial small subunit ribosomal RNA", at positions 28 to 524 of the family's 1533-position model. The record is from RNAcentral.
GACGAACGCUGGCGGCGCGCCUAACACAUGCAAGUCGAACGGAGUUUCCCCUUCGGGGGAGGCUUAGUGGCGGACGGGUGAGUAACACGUGAGGAACCUGCCUUUGAGAGCGGGAUACCGUCUGGAAACGGACGUUAAUACCGCAUAAUGCAGCGAGGCCACAUGGCCAUGCUGCCAAAGAUUUAUCGCUCAAAGAUGGCCUCGCGCCUGAUUAGAUAGUUGGCGGGGUAACGGCCCACCAAGUCUGCGAUCAGUAGCCGGACUGAGAGGUCGAACGGCCACAUUGGGACUGAGAUACGGCCCAGACUCCUACGGGAGGCAGCAGUGGGGGAUAUUGCACAAUGGGCGAAAGCCUGAUGCAGCGACGCCGCGUGAGGGAAGACGGUUUCGGAUGUAAACCUCUGUCUUCGGGGUACGGAAACAAGACGGUACCCGAGGAGGAAGCCACGGCUAACUACGUGCCAGCAGCCGCGGUAAU